CGAGAAACUCUCAUUCAUGGAGGCUUGCUUCAAUUGACCCCUAAACAAAAGUUACUAGUUCAGUGAUUAUGGACUUCAUAGUCAUACUAAACUUAAGUUAGAAUUAUACACAAGAAUCUAUAAUUGAAAAUCAAAGGCCAGACGAUCCUGACUUGGGACCCUAGAGAAUUUAAGCAUUACAAAUGUAAUUAUAAGGGCCUCAAUGAACAUGGACAAAACUAAUACAUAAAGAUUUUAGACAUGAAUAUUAAUAAAAAAGAAGAUGUGGUAUUCUUGCCAAUGAGACAACUGUCCACAAGAGACCAAAAUGACACAG
Molecule: long non-coding RNA, 316 nt
Filed under: Mytilus galloprovincialis (Mediterranean mussel)
Lineage: Eukaryota; Metazoa; Mollusca; Bivalvia; Mytilida; Mytilidae
Source: RNAcentral